AGGGUUUGAUUAUGGCUCAGGACGAACGCUGGCGGCGUGCCUAACACAUGCAAGUCGAGCGAAUGAAGUUCCUUCGGGAAUGGAUUUAGCGGCGGACGGGUGAGUAACACGUGGGCAACCUGCCUCAUAGAGGGGAAUAGCCUUCCGAAAGGGAGAUUAAUACCGCAUAAGAUUGUAGUACCGCAUGAUACAGCAAUUAAAGGAGCAAUCCGCUAUGAGAUGGGCCCGCGGCGCAUUAGCUAGUUGGUGAGGUAACGGCUCACCAAGGCGACGAUGCGUAGCCGACCUGAGAGGGUGAUCGGCCACAUUGGGACUGAGACACGGCCCAG
RNAcentral lists this ribosomal RNA (329 nucleotides) under uncultured bacterium. Its description in RNAcentral is "bacterial SSU rRNA". It matches the Rfam family "Bacterial small subunit ribosomal RNA", at positions 8 to 334 of the family's 1533-position model. The record is from RNAcentral.